RNAcentral lists this ribosomal RNA (478 nucleotides) under uncultured bacterium. RNAcentral describes it as "partial 16S ribosomal RNA". It matches the Rfam family "Bacterial small subunit ribosomal RNA", at positions 28 to 523 of the family's 1533-position model. The record is from RNAcentral.
GACGAACGCUGGCGGCGUGCUUAACACAUGCAAGUCGAACGGUAAGGCUCUUCGGGGUACACGAGUGGCGAACGGGUGAGUAACACGUGGGUGAUCUGCCCUGCACUUCGGGAUAAGCCUGGGAAGCUGGGUCUUAUACCGGAUAGGACCACUGCCUGCAGGGGUGGUGGUGGAAAGCAUUUGCGGUGUGGGAGGGGCCUGGGGCCUAUCAGCUUGUUGGUGGGGGGAUGGCCUACCAAGGCGACGACGGGUAGCCGGGCGGAGAGGGUGACCGGCCGCAAUGGGACUGAGAGACGGCCCAGACUCCUACGGGAGGCAGCAGUGGGGAAUAUUGCACGGUGGGCGCAAGCCUGAUGCAGCGACGCCGCGUGAGGGAUGACGGCCUUCGGGUUGUAAACCUCUUUCAGCACCGACGAAGCGCAAGUGACGGUAGGUGCAGAAGAAGGACCGGCCAACUACGUGCCAGCCGCCGCAGUAA